AUCAGGGCCCAGCAGGCCCAUAUAAAAGGAGCUGCAGGGCUAUGAGUUCAGUCUGCUAGCAGGGCUCAAGGGAGCAAGAGGUGUUCCUGACUGGCUGUGGGAGCUGUAAGGGCUAAGAGUGUGACUUGGCCAGAGGGCUGAAUCACUGAAGACCCACCUGAUGAGUGCAGCAACUGACAGGGAGAGCCAUGAGUAGAGGAAAUUGAGAAGAAACUGCAGAGGCAUACACGCUCAACCAGGAGAUGAUAAAGCAGACGGAUGGAUGAAGCUGGGGGAUGAUGAAUGUGCCAUUCUCAUGAGUAUAUGGCCCAUGUUACUAAAGGAUGGCUUAUAGUACUAUAUCACUUUAAAACUGUGGGAUCCUGCAUCAAGGGAGCUGAGAAGACCCACCCUAACAGACGGUUGCUGCCAUUUUGGAUUUAGUCUGUCUGCGGAACAAGUCUUCGUUGUUGUGGAUGCUUUUAAAGCUUCAUUGUACAUAGAAAAAUACAUAGUUCAGGAUUCCUUGGUGCUUAGAUGUGCUAGUGUGUGGCAACAGAAGUCUUUUAAAUCAUUCAGAAAGGUUGCCAGGAUUUGUCCCUCUGAGGGAAUCAAAAAUGAAGCUUGGAAUUUUGUAAACCCCUCUGGGACUCUGCUUUAUUCUGUGGGAACGUGACAUUUUGAAAGUAUUAGUCCGGUAGUGAUCUUGCUUCAGCCAUUAGAGUGUUACUGUAAGGAGUAAAAAAAUAAAACCAGUACUUGCAUCCUUUAUAGAUGCACACUGUAUUUAUUUGGUAGGACUGGGGUGGUCUAAUUAUUCUAAAGAGCAGUUGCUGUUUAACCAAGAUAAAAGUUUGAAUACGAGUAUAGUGUAAGUGUGUGUAAAGUUAGUAUGACCUGAUUAAAUUAGACUCUAAAGAGCUAGUAACAGCUGGGCUUCUGGAAAAUGAGUUCAAGCUUAAAGGAUGAUGACAUGGACCAAAUCCUCAGCUGAAGUAAAUUGCUGCAUCUCUAUUGACUUCUGUGGAAUUACCCCAAUUUAUACCAGCUGAGGAUCUUGCUCACUGUGUUUUAUAUAAGGAAAAUGUGUAUAUUUCCAGUUUGCUGUGUGAUGCAGAUUGUAGGCUGUUAGGAAAUCAUACAAGGUCAAAGUCAUUGAACAGUCUACAAUAUAGGUGUAUAUACUCGUAUAGUGGAUUUUGUGUGUGUUUGUACAGUUAAGUGCAAAACUCCAUUCAGCUGUAACUGGAGUCACAACCAGUGACUUGAGAAUAAGAUGAUAGCUGCCAAUGCCAUCUUGGCCGAUACCCUGGGAAUUGAAUCAGGGACCUGCUGAUCCAAAAGCAUGAGUCGCUGCAACUUGAGCUAAAUAGCCAAUCUCUGUGUUUAGGAGCUGUAAUAGACUUGAACUCUUUGUGGGUCCAGCGAAAAGGUGAGGCUGUAAUACACACUGACCAAUGGAUUACAUACUACCCUUAGAGGACGUGCGUCCUGAAUGUCAAAGGCCCACAACCAUUUGAAUACUGGAUGAGCCCUCAUUCAUGUGAUGCUGAUGCACCAGGGAAUAAAAUGGGUACCUCUAGAUCCAAAAGCAAAACUAUUAUAGCUUCUAGCUCAAGAGCCUGUCUCUUUAGCUGAAUCCAUAGAAAGUCACAGCCUCUGUGAAUCAGGCCAAUCAUUGGUGCUAUGUCUGAGUGGGGUAUCUAGUUCUGCAGUUAAGUUUUGUUUCCCCAAAGGAUGUGGAAAGGAGCAAGUGGGGCUUGGGAUUUGGGGACCACAUAGCGAACUGGGAUACCCCUGACACAGUUAAGAAGGUGCCAUUUUUGCGUUGUUACAUUGACUCUGACUCUCAACUCUUCUGUGUGAGUUGUACGUCAACGUAACUCAAAUUUCAUUGGCUUAACAUCAGUUAAGGGAUGGAGAACCGGGCCCUUACAGACUAGACUAGUUCAAGCCAAAGAUGCUGCUGUAAACUGUGUUCAUCUUGCAAAAAUAAUCUGUCAUGAAAGACAGACGUACAUAGUAUCAAGUAAGCAGCCCUGCCCCUGAAAGUUUUUGCUUGCUUGAUCCCAAACUGUACUUUGUCAGUGAUAGCUUCCACUGCCAACAGUGCAGUAACUCCAGUUGUAGCUGCAGCCUGUGAUAUAGAGGCUGGAGUUAAACCUUCUUGGUGACAUUUUGUUGUGUGGGAAAGCUUUUGGAAGACGCUCUGAUAAUACAAUAUGGAAAGCAGGCUAUCUUAGCCAUGUGCUAUGCUGACUUGGAACACCUCCUGCUUGGAGAACAUCCACUGGCAAGUGCUGCAAGGCUUGAACUGUCAAUUGAGUGUUUUAUUUUAAAUGUGUUCUCUACGCAUAUACCAGAGUUAUUUUGAGACUUUGCCUUCUGGGUUGAUACACGAUGGCUUUUCUAUCUAGUAUCAGCAUAGGUGUACAAACAGUUCAAGCGCUUAGGGUAGUUGUACAUGGAGCCAAUUAAAAAGUAAAGGCCGUAUGUAUUUGGAGGUGUGGAAUAGCUAUUACCAGCUCCAUUCUGGAGGCAAUAAAAGGUAUAAAUAUCAGUCACAUCUGUUUUUUGACCAAGAUGAUUUGGUAAAAUACCAAGAACCAGAAAAACCCAAACCAGUCUUGUGAGGGGUUUUGUUUUCAUGGCAGAGCUUCCACACACCCUGAGUAAGGGGCACCACGUAGCUGUGCUGCCCCAGGAACACCCAGCUAUAAUGCCAGCCUUGGUUCUCCUCUAAUUCCCCACCAGAAACAAAUCUGUACCAUCCUUCUCCCUAGUGCAGAUUACUUGGCUUUGUGCACCAGCUCAACUGGGUUAGCCAGUGUGUAGGGAGGUGGAGUCAAAGCUCCAACCACUCCCCGCUGACCUGCGGAGAAGGGGGAAUUGUGGCUGCAGUCCCCGCUGCUCUGUCACCACCAAAGGUGGGUAGCCCACAUAGUGACAUAAGGCAGCAACUGGCACCCUCUGCAUGUACAUGAAUGGCAAACCCUGCUGGUACCUUAUGAGGCAGUGUUUCUACUGCAGUAGGGCCCAGAGACCUUAGUUGUGAGGAACAGUCCCUGUUCCAUGCAGUUUACAAUCUAAGACAACAAUCAACACUUGGAAGAUAAGCGUGAGAGGGACUCAAUCAAAAUACAUCCAAUAUUAUGUACAUUAUAUAACAUACCCAUUUAAAAAAAAAAAGAAUAUGAAUGGAUAGAAAUGGCAGUCAGCUACAUCCCAGUCUAGCCUUGAUUAAUUGGCUACUGAUUUGUAAGGCCUCAGUGAGGAAGAGGGUCCUGAGGAAGUAUCUAAAAGGGGACAGGGUAGCAGUCUUGCGGAUGAGAUUGGGGGAGGGCAUUAUGUACACAGGACAGCAUGGAAGAAGGCACAGAAAUGGCUGCAGGGGAAGUGAACAAGUGGCUGGGAGAGCUAGUGGCAUAGCUGGAGAGGAGGAAGCAGGGUGUGAUGCAGGUAAGAGACAAGCAGAUAAAGUUUCCACAAGUCAGCUUAAACCCUUGGCCAGCCUAUGCCCUUCAGUGUGUCCAGAACUGUUAGCAGGGCCAAUGUCACCCCUUGCCUGAACAAGGACAAGGUGCAAGAAUUUUGCUGCUUCCUGAACAGGAAGGCAGAGGGAAGGUCUUCUACCACCCUUUCCCCCUUCCUCCUCCCCCUGCCAUUUUGCAGUAGCAAA
Mauremys mutica (yellowpond turtle) is the source of this 3658-nucleotide long non-coding RNA. RefSeq lists it as uncharacterized. The record is from RefSeq and is a predicted model, not a curated record. The transcript is spliced from 3 exons. NCBI's taxonomy places the organism in Eukaryota, Metazoa, Chordata, Testudines, Geoemydidae.